AACUAAUGUAGGUAAAAGUUUGUUAUUUCCGAUGCAACAAUCAGUUCAAAUUCAAAUGUUGUUAAUAAAUGUUGUUCCAUUUCCUAUGUGAUUUACAUCAUUCACUUUCUCUCUCUCCCUCUCUCAUUCUCCUAACAAGCUUCUUCCUCUACCUCCGGUCUUCUCUCUCAUUUUCCAUUUUCUCUCUCAAUCACUGUUCUUCUCCUCUCUCAAUUGCUGCUUUUCUUCAUCCUCAUCGCCUCCAGUUUCGGCCACCCCACCAGAAACCACCGCGCGAGUGAGAGUGAACAUACCCUGAAGAGAAUCUCGCAUCAAAUCUGGAUAUCGAUAUCAUCUGCAUCUCGAUCUGUUGGUUUCUACGACACGCUCCGUUGCGGUUAGGAACGGUGGGCUGAUUUUUUCCGACCCAGCAUUGGCAAAAUGUUCAUGGAAACAACAACAACCACUUGAUGUGUCGGGAUAAGUUACAAAGGUUGCCAUGAAAGAUGAAGGCAAGGGUGAGGAUGAACACAACUUUGGUUACUUUUAUUCAAAUUAUUUCAUUUACAUUUUUAUUGUCUAGAAGCUUUUUUUCCGUAUAUUGUUUAAGGUAAAAAUGUGCGUAGAUUUAGCUUUCAAUUGAGCUUUUCUUUCUCUGAUUUUCUUACAUGAUUUAGUUGUUUUUGCUUUGGCUGGUUUUGCUUUCAUGAAAGAUGAAGGCAAGGGUGAGGAUGAACACAACUUUGGUUACUUUUAUUCAAAUUAUUUCAUUUACAUUUUUAUUGUCUAGAAGCUUUUUUUCCGUAUAUUGUUUAAGGUAAAAAUGUGCGUAGAUUUAGCUUUCAAUUGAGCUUUUCUUUCUCUGAUUUUCUUACAUGAUUUAGUUGUUUUUGCUUUGGCUGGUUUUGCUUUCAUUGACUUACGAUUCUUCUGUUAUCUCUAAUGUAGAUACUUAACUGAGAAAAACUAAUCUCUCCUUUCCGGUGAAUAUUGAAAUAACCCAUAUCCUAAUAAAAAAAAUUCUUUUUUUAUCUUUGCAAAUGCAUUAUCUUUACUCUAUUUUCCUUCACACGCACUUUUUUUUUUAUAAUAGUGUUGCUUCACAUAUAUUAUAACUUAUUUCAGUACAUCAUUAAUUGCCUUCUUUUGUAAAUCAUACAAGUCAUUUAUUUUUUUUCUGCUUUUGUUUAGCUCUGCCACAUUCUAUAAGGGUGAACUGCAUUAUAGUUAGUCGUUGAAUGAUGUUUUGCAGGGACAGAUUCAGUUUUCUUAAUGUCUUGAUGUGCCACUAACUUUUUAUAGUGCCACUAAUGCAACCAUGUCAAUAAUGAGUGUUUUGUAAAUGCCCAUAUGUAUAGUGACAGAUUCAGUUUGCUUAAUGUCUUGAUUUGCAGUGUGAUUUACUCUUUUGAUUUUCACAAGUUCAAAUGUGAAAAAUAACUGUUUGAAAAUUGUUGUUUAUGAUAGGUCAAACCUUUUGAGCCCUUUUCGAUGGUUUAAAUUCCUGUGGUUGUUUUGCUAUAGAUAAUAUUUCACAUCUCUUUUGGCCUUAUAGAUUUUAAUUAUAUUAUGGUACAAUCUUGAAAUAUUUAGUGAAAGACAAAGUAUAACUUUCUUAGUCUUUUCUUCUUUUACUUUGCUUAAAUGUUCAGGGAAGCCUAAUCAAAAGUUUGGGUAGAACAUGAGUUAAAGUUAUAUUGAUCUCAUUAAAUUUUAUUUUUUGCAAUUGUGGUUUAUCACCUAAAAAAGUCAGAGUUGAAUAUGAUAAUAAAUGUGCCUCUACUGUUAUGGUUGUUGAAGGAAAAUUAGUUUGUCGAAAAUGCAAAAUAAACCGCAAUGCAAUGAUAGGUAUGGUUUUCAUGUGAUGAUUGUAAUACUUGAGUUUGCUAACAAUGCUCAAUGUUUUCUUUCUGCUACUGUCUAGGACCAGAAAGAACUUUUACUCAUAUAUAUCCUACUGUACUGAACAACAGCUCACCAUGACACAAGGUCUGCAACAUUAUUUUGUCCAUAUGAAAUUGAGUUUUUAUGUAUCCAAUUGUACUGGACAAUGGUGUUUUCUUCAUCGUCAAAAAAAAAAAUGGUGUUUUCUUCAUAAAGGUAAAGAAUACGUCAUAGGCUUCUUUGUUGACAACUGGACAAGGGGUAAUUUGCAGCGGAAAAAUGUUACACGCCCGGUUACAUGUCCAAUAUGUGACAAGUAGGAAAAAUAUGAAUGUCAUGUGUUCUUUGGCUUCUUUGGCUGCCAAUACGCCCGGUUACAUGUCCUAAAUUUCAUUCCUUCUAAAUUUGAAUUGAUUUCCGACUCUUUAUUUGAUAGAUAUUUAAGUAUUUGAGUUCUCUUGAGGUUGAAGAUAAUAAGGAUGUCAAAUAGUGGGGUUUCACCCAUCAGUGUCGGAAUGGUAACGAAGUAUGUUUGAUUGCAAGUUGAAGAAUUCAGGUGGUGGUUGCGGUUAUGAAAACAGACCAGUGUCUCUUCUGCUGCUAUCAUCUAUAUUUGAGUUUUUUUUUUUAGCUUUUAUUUGUUACAACUAUUGUUUUGUGUGUGAUUCACUGAGGAAUUGAAUAACUUCGAAUUAUGUAGUCCAUAGGAAAGAAACUAAUAGAAGAUAUGUGUUGCGAUUGUUAAUCUUUUAUUGUUUAUUUGAUAAAAUUUUGUCCACACAUUUUGCAGA
Medicago truncatula (barrel medic) is the source of this 2654-nucleotide long non-coding RNA. RefSeq lists it as uncharacterized. Lineage: Eukaryota; Viridiplantae; Streptophyta; Magnoliopsida; Fabales; Fabaceae. The record is from RefSeq and is a predicted model, not a curated record. The transcript has 3 exons.